Molecule: ribosomal RNA, 355 nt
Filed under: uncultured Pelotomaculum sp.
Lineage: Bacteria; Bacillati; Bacillota; Clostridia; Eubacteriales; Desulfotomaculaceae
Description: bacterial SSU rRNA
Rfam family: Bacterial small subunit ribosomal RNA
Source: RNAcentral
CAGGGAGACAGGUGGUGGCAUGGUUGUCGUCAGCUCGUGUCGUGAGAUGUUGGGUUAAGUCCGCAACGAGCGCAACCCUACGUUUAGUUGCUAACGCGUGAAGGCGAGCACUCUAGACGAACUGCCGUUGACAAAACGGAGGAAGGUGGGGAUGACGUCAAAUCAUCAUGCCCCUUAUGUUCUGGGCUACACACGUGCUACAAUGGCCGGUACAGACGGACGCAAAGCCGCGAGGUGGAGCAAAUCCUAAAAAGCCGGUCUCAGUUCGGAUUGCAGGCUGCAAUUCGCCUGCAUGAAGUCGGAAUCGCUAGUAAUCGCAGGUCAGCAUACUGCGGUGAAUACGUUCCCGGGCCUU